AGAGUUUGAUCAUGGCUCAGGAUGAACGCUGGCGGCGUGCCUAACACAUGCAAGUCGAGCGAUUUACUUCGGUAAAGAGCGGCGGACGGGUGAGUAACGCGUGGGUAACCUGCCCUAUACACACGGAUAACAUACCGAAAGGUAUGCUAAUACGAGAUAAUAUAAGAGAUUCACAUGGAUUUCUUAUCAAAGCUGAGGCGGUAUAGGAUGGACCCGCGUCUGAUUAGCUAGUUGGUAAGGUAACGGCUUACCAAGGCGACGAUCAGUAGCCGACCUGAGAGGGUGAUCGGCCACAUUGGAACUGAGACACGGUCCAAACUCCUACGGGAGGCAGCAGUGGGGAAUAUUGCACAAUGGGCGAAAGCCUGAUGCAGCAACGCCGCGUGAGUGAUGAAGGCCUUCGGGUCGUAAAACUCUGUCCUCAAGGAAGAUAAUGACGGUACUUGAGGAGGAAGCCCCGGCUAACUACGUGCCAGCAGCCGCGGUAAUACGUAGGGGGCUAGCGUUAUCCGGAUUUACUGGGCGUAAAGGGUGCGUAGGUGGUCUCUUAAGUCAGGAGUGAAAGGCUACGGCUUAACCGUAGUAAGCUCUUGAAACUGGGAGACUUGGGUGCAGGAGAGGAAAGUGGAAUUCCUAGUGUAGCGGUGAAAUGCGUAGAUAUUAGGAGGAACACCAGUAGCGAAGGCGGCUUUCUGGACUGUAACUGACACUGAGGCACGGAAGCGUGGGGAGCAAACAGGAUUAGAUACCCUGGUAGUCCACGCCGUAAACGAUGAGUACUAGGUGUCGGGGGUUACCCCCCUCGGUGCCGCAGCUAACGCAUUAAGUACUCCGCCUGGGGAGUACGCUCGCAAGAGUGAAACUCAAAGGAAUUGACGG
RNAcentral lists this ribosomal RNA (879 nucleotides) under uncultured bacterium. RNAcentral describes it as "bacterial SSU rRNA". It matches the Rfam family "Bacterial small subunit ribosomal RNA", at positions 8 to 916 of the family's 1533-position model. The record is from RNAcentral.